This 292-nucleotide ribosomal RNA is filed under the name uncultured bacterium. RNAcentral describes it as "partial 16S ribosomal RNA". RNAcentral also lists the same sequence under 1 other name. The record is from RNAcentral.
GGACUACUGGGGUAUCUAAUCCUGUUUGCUCCCCACGCUUUCGUGCUUGAACGUCGGCGCUGGACCAGGAAGCCGCUUUCGCCACUGAUGUUCCUUCUGAUAUCUACGCAUUUCACCGCUACACCAGAAAUUCCGCUUCCCUCUUCCGCACCCUAGCUUUGCAGUCUCGAAUGCAAUUCCCAGGUUGAGCCCGGGGCUUUCACACCCGACUUACGAAACCGUCUACGCACGCUUUACGCCCAGUAAUUCCGAUUAACGCUUGCACCCUCUGUAUUACCGCGGCGGCUGGCAC